Molecule: ribosomal RNA, 567 nt
Filed under: uncultured bacterium
Lineage: Bacteria
Description: partial 16S ribosomal RNA
Rfam family: Bacterial small subunit ribosomal RNA
Source: RNAcentral
UGGGGAAUUUUGGACAAUGGGCGCAAGCCUGAUCCAGCCAUGCCGCGUGCGGGAAGAAGGCCUUCGGGUUGUAAACCGCUUUUGUCAGGGAAGAAAUCUUCUGAGUUAAUACCUCGGGAGGAUGACGGUACCUGAAGAAUAAGCACCGGCUAACUACGUGCCAGCAGCCGCGGUAAUACGUAGGGUGCAAGCGUUAAUCGGAAUUACUGGGCGUAAAGCGUGCGCAGGCGGUUUUGUAAGACAGAGGUGAAAUCCCCGGGCUCAACCUGGGAACUGCCUUUGUGACUGCAAGGCUUGAGUGCGGCAGAGGGGGAUGGAAUUCCGCGUGUAGCAGUGAAAUGCGUAGAUAUGCGGAGGAACACCGAUGGCGAAGGCAAUCCCCUGGGCCUGCACUGACGCUCAUGCACGAAAGCGUGGGGAGCAAACAGGAUUAGAUACCCCUGGUAGUCCACGCCCUAAACGAUGUCAACUGGUUGUUGGGAAGGUUCCUUCUCAGUAACGUAGCUAACGCGUGAAGUUGACCGCCUGGGGAGUACGGCCGCAAGGUUGAAACUCAAAUGAAUUGAC